RNAcentral lists this RNase P RNA (353 nucleotides) under Nanobdellota archaeon. Its description in RNAcentral is "RNase P RNA component". It matches the Rfam family "Archaeal RNase P". Rfam says of the family: Ribonuclease P (RNase P) is a ubiquitous endoribonuclease, found in archaea, bacteria and eukarya as well as chloroplasts and mitochondria. Its best characterised activity is the generation of mature 5'-ends of tRNAs by cleaving the 5'-leader elements of precursor-tRNAs. The record is from RNAcentral. Lineage: Archaea; Nanobdellati; Nanobdellota.
GUAGGACGGUGAUUGACUUUCGGUUUAUAACUGAGGAAAACAAAAACUCCGUGUUUUUGAGCCUCAGUUUGAAUAACUGAGGAAAGUCCGCCCACUAAUUAUGUAGUCACUCUCGGAAGAGAGAUCCUGAAAAGGAUGGCAACGGCUCAGAAACGAGACCACCUAUGAACAAAAGAAUGAUGUGGCGAAUCAAUAGGCGACUGUUGAAAGCUAACCUGCUGACGGUGUUUUUAGGAAUGGAUGAAACGGCGAGUCCUGACUUGUGCAAGCCAAAAUGGCGCUAAGUAGAAUGUCAAGAUGGACUGUCUGAAACAUUACAGAGUCCAACAAAAGGCGGCUUACAACCGUUCUAC